CCUGUCUGCCAGCACCCAGGGGCGGAUUCAGAACCAAAUCUCGGGAGGGGCACUGGUGGUGGGCUAUAGCGGUGUGAAAAGGGCUGCAGCUGAGGAAUAGGGUACUCUUGUUUAGGGGAUAGGAUGCUGUACACAUAUGCGGCCACACACAGGGAUAUCGAAACACAAUAACACACUGACACAUACACACAAAUACAAACAUAUACCUUCAGACACAUACACUGGGACACCCACAGAUGCAAACCUAUACCUACCAGGCACACACAGAUACACACACAUACCUACACACACACACAGAUGCACAUACCUACACAUAGAUUCACAUAUACACACACUGACACACAAAUACACACACAUAUACCUGCACAUACACACACUGGCACAUAGAUACACACAUACCUAAAUACAUACACUCUGUCGCACACACACACACACACACACACACAUCCCUACACAUACAGACACACAGACAUGCACAUACACAAAAUGACACACAUACCUUCACAUACACACACAGAUACAAGGUGAUAGAAUAUACAGGCAAAACUCCAGGUACUGAAGGUGUAU
This is a non-coding RNA of Pelobates cultripes (western spadefoot toad), 567 nucleotides long. NCBI's taxonomy places the organism in Eukaryota, Metazoa, Chordata, Amphibia, Anura, Pelobatidae. The record is from the annotation of a GenBank genome assembly.